GACGAACGCUGGCGGCGUGCUUAACACAUGCAAGUCGAACGGAAAGGCCCUGCUUUUGUGGGGUGCUCGAGUGGCGAACGGGUGAGUAACACGUGAGUAACCUGCCCUUGACUUUGGGAUAACUUCAGGAAACUGGGGCUAAUACCGGAUAGGAGCUCCUGCUGCAUGGUGGGGGUUGGAAAGUUUCGGCGGUUGGGGAUGGGCUCGCGGCUUAUCAGCUUGUUGGUGGGGUAGUGGCUUACCAAGGCUUUGACGGGUAGCCGGCCUGAGAGGGUGACCGGGCACAUUGGGAAUUAGGUACGGCCCCGGCCCCUACGGGGGGCAGGAGGUGGGAAUUUUGCAAAAUGGGCGGAAGCCUGAUGCAGCAACGCCGGGGUCGGGAUUACGGCCUUCGGGUUUUAAACCGCUUUCGCCUGUGACGAAGCGGGAGGGACGGUAAUGGGUAAAGAAGCACCGGCUAACUACGUG
This 468-nucleotide ribosomal RNA is filed under the name uncultured bacterium. Its description in RNAcentral is "partial 16S ribosomal RNA". It matches the Rfam family "Bacterial small subunit ribosomal RNA", at positions 28 to 507 of the family's 1533-position model. The record is from RNAcentral.